AGCGAAGAUAAGUCGAAACCACUUCAAGGUAUCCAAACAUACAGGGAAUAUAAGGAAGCUUUACGUCAACAACGAGCGCAGGAUGUGCCAUCUGUCUAUAGAACCAGGGAUUCAGACGAUCAAAGUUACAAAACAGAACCAAGCACUCCUACCCAUCAUACCUCUUCGACAUUGGCCACUUCAAAAUCAGAUCCGACUCCUCUAAAUUCCGCUUUUGGAAGC
Long non-coding RNA from Agrilus planipennis (emerald ash borer), 222 nucleotides. RefSeq lists it as uncharacterized. The record is from RefSeq and is a predicted model, not a curated record. The transcript has 2 exons. NCBI's taxonomy places the organism in Eukaryota, Metazoa, Arthropoda, Insecta, Coleoptera, Buprestidae.